Molecule: ribosomal RNA, 253 nt
Filed under: uncultured bacterium
Lineage: Bacteria
Description: partial 16S ribosomal RNA
Rfam family: Bacterial small subunit ribosomal RNA
Source: RNAcentral
GACGAACCAUGCAAACGUUAUUCGGAUUCACUGGGCUUAAAGCGUGCGUAGGCGGUCGUGUUAGUCAGGUGUGAAAGCCCUCAGCCUAACUGAGGAAUUGCGCCUGAUACUGCAUGACUAGAGAAUGAUAGAGGUGGGUGGAACUGAUGGUGGAGCGGUGAAAUUCGUAGAUAUUCGCAAGAACACCAGUGGCGAAGGCGGCUUACUGGUCCGGAUCUGACGCUGAGGCGCGAAAGCGUGGGGAGCAAACAGG